Molecule: ribosomal RNA, 592 nt
Filed under: uncultured bacterium
Lineage: Bacteria
Description: bacterial SSU rRNA
Rfam family: Bacterial small subunit ribosomal RNA
Source: RNAcentral
GCGGACGGGCUGAUUAACACGUGAGUAACCUACCUUCCAAAGGGGGAUAACGUCUGGAAACGGACGCUAAUACCGCAUAAUACUAUUUGAGGGCAUCCUUGGAUAGUCAAAGGAGGAAUCCGAUGGGAGAUGGACUCGCGGCUGAUUAGAUAGUUGGCGGGGUAGAGGCCCACCAAGUCGACGAUCAGUAGCCGGACUGAGAGGUUGAACGGCCACAUUGGGACUGAGACACGGCCCAGACUCCUACGGGAGGCAGCAGUGGGGGAUAUUGCACAAUGGGGGAAACCCUGAUGCAGCGACGCCGCGUGAGGGAAGACGGUUUUCGGAUUGUAAACCUCUGUCUUUGGGGACGAAUUGAGACGGUACCCAAGGAGGAAGCUCCGGCUAACUACGUGCCAGCAGCCGCGGUAAUACGUAGGGAGCAAGCGUUGUCCGGAAUUACUGGGUGUAAAGGGAGCGUAGGCGGGAUAGUAAGUUGAUUGUUAAAACUAUCGGCUCAACUGGUAGAUGCGAUCAAAACUGCAAUUCUUGAGUGAAGUAGAGGCAGGCGGAAUUCCUAGUGUAGCGGUGAAAUGCGUAUAUAUUAGGAGGA